This is a long non-coding RNA of Thalassophryne amazonica, 238 nucleotides long. RefSeq lists it as uncharacterized. The record is from RefSeq and is a predicted model, not a curated record. The transcript is spliced from 3 exons. Lineage: Eukaryota; Metazoa; Chordata; Actinopteri; Batrachoidiformes; Batrachoididae.
GAAGUAAAAUAAGGAAGUAAAAUAAAGGGUUAAAACUGUGAAUUCAACAGACUGAUGUCUGCAAACGGUCUGAUGGAAAGAGUAAGAAAAAGUAAAGAGCACUAAUUGUGGUUGCAUGAGAAGGUUUUUGUGCAUGGGUACAUUUUUGGCAGAGCUGACAAUAAUUACUCACAUUAAUGCAUUUCCAGCAGUUUUGCUCGUGCACGGUAUUGCAGAAUAUUUAACAAGAAAAAUAAUU